This 734-nucleotide ribosomal RNA is filed under the name uncultured eukaryote. RNAcentral's name for it is "SSU rRNA". It matches the Rfam family "Eukaryotic small subunit ribosomal RNA", at positions 670 to 1426 of the family's 1831-position model. The record is from RNAcentral.
CGGGUGCACUGAUCCAGCCGGGCCUUUCCCUCUGUGGAACCCCAUGGCCUUCACUGGCUGUGGUGGGGAAACAGGACUUUUACUUUGAAAAAAUUAGAGUGCUCCAGGCAGGGCCUAUGCUCGAAUACAUUAGCAUGGAAUAAUAGAAUAGGACGUGUGGUUCUAUUUUGUUGGUUUCUAGGACCGCCGUAAUGAUUAAUAGGGACAGUCGGGGGCAUCAGUAUUCAAUUGUCAGAGGUGAAAUUCUUGGAUCUAUUGAAGACUAACUACUGCGAAAGCAUUUGCCCAAGGAUGUUUUCAUUGAUAAGGAACGAAAGUUAGGGGAUCGAAGACGAUCAGAUACCGUCGUAGUCUUAACUAUAAACUAUGCCGACUAGGGAUCGGACGAUGUUAUUCUUUGACGCGUUCGGCACCUUUCGAGAAAUCAAAGUGCUUGGGCUCCAGGGGGAGUAUGGUCGCAAGGCUGAAACUUAAAGAAAUUGACGGAAAGGGCACCACCAGGGGUGGAACCUGCGGCUUAAUUUGACUCAACACGGGGAAACUCACCAGGUCCAGACACAGUGAGGAUUGACAGAUUGAGAGCUCUUUCUUGAUUCUGUGGGUGGUGGUGCAUGGCCGUUCUUAGUUGGUGGAGUGAUUUGUCCUGCUUAAUUGCGAUAACGAACGAGACCUUAACCUGCUAAAUAGCCCGUACUGCUUUGGCAGUUCGCCGGCUUCUUUAGAGGGACUAUCGG